Molecule: long non-coding RNA, 1526 nt
Organism: Chiroxiphia lanceolata (lance-tailed manakin)
Lineage: Eukaryota; Metazoa; Chordata; Aves; Passeriformes; Pipridae
Exons: 4
Source: RefSeq, a predicted model, not a curated record
GGCCUGAGGUACUACCUGAUGUCACAGUAGUUUUGGAACAGGCUUUGUUGGAGACACCUUAGCUCUGUUUGGUGUCCUUUUGUCUGUUGUGGAUCUUCUGGCUGCAGAAGGAACAUGGAAAUUGGAAGGUCCAAUUCCAAGAAGACCACCCCAUUCCAUUUAUUUGUAGAUGGAUGGAGUUCAUGAGGAGGAACCCACAUGAUAAGGCUUGCAGAUAAAUCCCAUAGUUUUGUAUUGCCCUUGGGAUAAAUUCUGUAAAUAUGACAAGCCUUUUGGUUGCUGAUACUGAAAGGGGUCUAGGAGACAGCAGCUCCGUGCUACUGGAGGGGCUGCAAUGCCCAGGUCUCCAAAAAGGUGUUGGCCAUGCAGUAGCAGCUUGAGGCUGCACCUGAAGGCAGGGGAGUGGGGAGCAACAGCCGACGUCAUGGUGGAAGGACUCGGACGACGUGGGCUGGGAGGCUGCGGGUCCCUGUCACCUUCCUCUGCCAUCAGACACUGCGUACAGGAAAGGGUGGACCCUCAUUACCCGAGGGAUUGCAAGGAAGCUUCUGUUUUCACUUCCUAAGUCAAGAUGAUGUUAAUAAUGUCACAUUCCUCCAGCACUUAUCUGUGUGCAUGUCAGUAAAUAUUAAACCUGGCGAGGAAUGAAUGACCUUCCUCCUCCUCCUUGCUCAGCUCCCUUCGGAGCACAGCGCUGGUGGUACACUGGGCUCAGGUCCAUGUCCUCUCCUGCCCUCUCCUACCCUGUGGGAGGACCAGGGGGCCAAGGUGGGGGGUACACAAGAAAAUACUGAUGCAGGAUUGAGUUUUUUUCCUUAGGCUGGGUCAGGGUGCUUUUACAGAGACUCUACAUUAUCUGCGAGGCAGGCCAGGAUGGAGGGUGGUGCACAAGGCAAGCAAAGGCAUCUUACAUCUCCUCGGUCGCUUGCUCCGGAGCUCGCAUUCUUGUGCCUUCCUUCAGUCUGCUGCAGAAAUCCUCAUCUAUUUGGACUCCAGGGUAAGGAGAGGCGCCUGGAGGCAACAUUGAGAGAAUAGAUACAUGCCUUGAGUUGGGUACUUGUGACCUAGCUGUAACCCUUAUGCAUCUCCCUCAAACACUUGGGAUGUGCAGCACCAGGUUGCAGAGCUGGGGAUCAGAGGAUGUCCCCUCCACUGCAGGGUCUGGUCCUGCCAGCUGCCACAGACAGGGAACCACUGCUGGUGGUGCUCCAAGCCCCAGUCCUUGGAGGGGGACAAGAUCAAACCCAUAACUAUUUGCGGUGCUUACCUGGCCCGAAUGGAAAAAAUACGCAUGAAUUUGACUUGAGCAGUAUCCCUUGAAAAGCCAAGUCUAAUCUUUCUAUUGAUUUGGACUACUCCAAAUUCUAGUAAGCAGAGUAUUAACAAACCCCAAAUGCUCAAAAUCACCUUGAAAAAAAAUUGAAAUCUUUAUUUUAAAUCAGAUCACAGUACAUUUGCAUUGUUUUUCUAGUUUCUCUGGUUUUAAGAUGCAGCCUGAUUGUGCUGUUGUUUUUUUAUCUGUGGAC